Long non-coding RNA from Helianthus annuus (common sunflower), 539 nucleotides. RefSeq lists it as uncharacterized. Lineage: Eukaryota; Viridiplantae; Streptophyta; Magnoliopsida; Asterales; Asteraceae. The transcript is spliced from 3 exons. The record is from RefSeq and is a predicted model, not a curated record.
AUUGUGGUGGAAUCCGCAGCGCAACGCGCGCUUUGAAGAUUUAGUUUUGGCUGUACUGUUCGAAACCCAAACCCCCCAGCCCACCCAGCCUGAUCUCGGCCCACACAUUCGAAUUCCUUCACCGACUCUUCUUGUUCAGCGAUUAUUUUGCAUGGUUUGCAUAUAUAUAUAUACACACAUAAUGAUCUCUACCUCUACGCAAACCCUACCUGCCGCCUCACCUGAACCGCUCCUCCUCGCCCGAAACACUACGUCGAACCAACCACUACCUUCUUCUCCGGCGAGUUCACCGGCGAACACCGGACGCGAUUGAUCAAAAGUUAUUUUAGCAAGUAGACUAUCUGCCGAGCAAAUCAAGGUGAUUACUGAAGGAACUUGGGGAGCUUGCUGUCUGAUGCUGCUGGAGUGGUUAUGGUCAUAAUAAACAGUUGUCUUGAUUUGCUUUUGAUACAUUUACACACUUAUCCGUUUAUGCUUCCGCUCAGUAUUUUGGUUUUGGUUUAACUUUCAAACAAUACAUUUUAUUGAUUUGGUAUUUA